GAUGAACGCUAGCGACAGGCCUAACACAUGCAAGUCGAGGGGCAGCAUAAAGGUAGCAAUACUUUGGUGGCGACCGGCGCACGGGUGAGUAACACGUAUGCAACCUACCUGUAAGAGGGGAAUAACCCGGAGAAAUUCGGACUAAUACCGCAUAAUACUGAUUAUCUGCAUGGAUUGAUCAGUUAAACAUUUAUGGCUUACAGAUGGGCAUGCGUAUGAUUAGAUAGUUGGUAGGGUAACGGCCUACCAAGUCUACGAUCAUUAGGGGUUCUGAGAGGAAGGUCCCCCACACUGGUACUGAGACACGGACCAGACUCCUACGGGAGGCAGCAGUGAGGAAUAUUGGUCAAUGGGCGAGAGCCUGAACCAGCCAAGUCGCGUGAAGGAAGAAGGUUCUAUGGAUUGUAAACUUCUUUUGCAGGGGAAUAAAGGACGGUACGUGUACUGUUUUGUAUGUACCUUGCGAAUAAGGAUCGGCUAACUCCGUG
Molecule: ribosomal RNA, 488 nt
Filed under: uncultured bacterium
Lineage: Bacteria
Description: bacterial SSU rRNA
Rfam family: Bacterial small subunit ribosomal RNA
Source: RNAcentral